This 31-nucleotide non-coding RNA is filed under the name Mus musculus (house mouse). The record is from RNAcentral. Lineage: Eukaryota; Metazoa; Chordata; Mammalia; Rodentia; Muridae.
UGUGCAUGCUGAGCAAUACCACGGCCAUCGC